Molecule: long non-coding RNA, 262 nt
Filed under: Spirodela polyrhiza (greater duckweed)
Lineage: Eukaryota; Viridiplantae; Streptophyta; Magnoliopsida; Alismatales; Araceae
Description: long non-coding RNA (SPOL_LNC002174)
Source: RNAcentral
UCGCCGGAGCUGGAGGUGGUCGCGGAGGUAGAGCUUCCGCGGCGCGUGCCGUAUGGCUUUCACGGGGUGUUCGUGAGCCAGUGUGAUCUCAAAUGCCAGCGGAGGAGAUAGGCAGGUCUUGACUGGUAGCCUGAGGCAACUCGUAGCGGAGCAUUAUUGGGUAUGUGUUGAGGCUCUGACCUCAAUUGACCACCCUCGCUGGUGGUCAAUUGAUUCCAAUAACGGUCGAAGACGCCUGGCAGUUCAGAAAAGGGGCAACAAG